This 248-nucleotide ribosomal RNA is filed under the name uncultured bacterium. RNAcentral describes it as "partial 16S ribosomal RNA". It matches the Rfam family "Bacterial small subunit ribosomal RNA", at positions 85 to 334 of the family's 1533-position model. The record is from RNAcentral.
AAGAUGGCGACCGGCGCACGGGUGAGUAACACGUAUCCAACCUGCCGAUAACUCUGGAAUAGCCUUUCGAAAGAAAGAUUAAUACCGGAUGGCAUACGAAUAUCGCAUGAUAUUUUUAUUAAAGAAUUUCGGUUAUCGAUGGGGAUGUGUUCCAUUAGUUUGUUGGCGGGGUAACGGCCCACCAAGACAACGAUGGAUAGGGGUUCUGAGAGGAAGGUCCCCCACAUUGGAACUGAGACACGGUCCAA